UACAGAGGUCCCAAGCGUUGUUCGGAUUCACUGGGCGUAAAGGGUGCGUAGGUGGCGCUGUAAGUCGGGUGUGAAAUUUCGGAGCUUAACUCCGAAACUGCAUUCGAUACUGCGGUGCUUGAGGACUGGAGAGGAGACUGGAAUUCAUGGUGUAGCAGUGAAAUGCGUAGAGAUCAUGAGGAAGACCAGUGGCGAAGGCGGGUCUCUGGACAGUUCCUGACACUGAGGCACGAAGGCCAGGGGAGCAAACGGGG
Molecule: ribosomal RNA, 254 nt
Filed under: uncultured bacterium
Lineage: Bacteria
Description: partial 16S ribosomal RNA
Rfam family: Bacterial small subunit ribosomal RNA
Source: RNAcentral